RNAcentral lists this unclassified non-coding RNA (1863 nucleotides) under Monomorium pharaonis (pharaoh ant). RNAcentral describes it as "non-histone protein 10, transcript variant X4". The record is from RNAcentral. Lineage: Eukaryota; Metazoa; Arthropoda; Insecta; Hymenoptera; Formicidae.
UACUGUUACGUUCUACGGAAAGUGUGUGUGACCAGCUUUAUGCAGAAGGCUGUACUCUUGCCCUUAUUUUUAAAGUGGCUAAUGAUUUUUUUCACUGUUUUAUUUUCGUUCUUAUUUCUCAUACACGUUUCGUUGUACAUUUAGGAUUGUGAUGUCCGAUGAGUCCGAAUAUGAUAUGGAACCGGAAGAGCUUGACAUUUACAAGAGAAAAUAUCAAUUACUGUUGGAGAGAUGCGAGAUUUUACAACAGGAAAAUGAAAGAUUAGUCUACAGAAUCCAGAAAGUAAGGAAGCUUCUUCGACGUUCAAGGAAAGAAAAAAAAUUUUUAAUCGAUCGAUUGGAUCGACAUGGAGAUCGUUGGCGAGAAGCUCCGAUGGGUGUACUCGAAGAGAACAGUGUAUUUCAAACGACUCCAAAAUCAGAGAAAAGUGGAAAAGGUAUUUCUCAUGGUGCUAAGGAGGAGAAGCCUAGAAAGGGAACGAAGAGAAAGGGGACAAAAGCAGAUCCAAAUGCACCGAAAAGACCCGCUAAUCCUUUCUUUCAAUUUUGUCAAGAGCAAAGGCCCCGUGUAAUGGAACGAUUAGCUGGAGAACCAGAGCCUAGUAAACAAGAACUUACCAGGCAACUUGCAACUACUUGGAAAUCUCUCAGUUCUGAGGAUAAAAAAGUUGUACGGUUUCAGAUAUAUUAUGAUAUGUACGAGAGAUCCAAGGAAAAAUAUGUCGCAGAGAUGCAAAUAUAUAAUAAGAAGACUGAAGAUUUACCAUGUCAAAUACCAUUAAAUAUAACAUAAUAUUUAGUGUGAUAUUAAUGAAUAUUAAUGGCGAUAAAUUAAUGGAUAUUAUAGAAAAUUGAUGACAUGUGAUCACAGCUUUAUAAGAAUAGUACAAUAGUAAUAAUAGAGGACAAACUUUACAGACAUUAGAUAGUCUUGUGUUAUUUGAUUUGUUCGGAACAAAAACAAGUUCUUGUUGAUUGCAAUGCUGAUUGAUACAAAUACACAGUAAAUAAAUAGAAAGCCAGCGAAGACAUACUCCAUAAAAAGAUAGGAGUGGGGACAAAAAGCCAGCUUUUCUUCGCUCCAUGAAAAGGAAGGAGGCGAAUAGCGAUAGCUAAGCGACGCUGCUUUUUAUUGGAUGGAGAGGGGGUAAAAGCCAGCUUUGCUUCGCUCGCAUGAAAUUGCACCUUAAGUUCUUCACAUAUCAACCUAACUUAACCUAACCUAACCUAACCUAACCUAACCUCUCCUCUCUCUUGCUCACUUUUAUACUCUCUCUGGUCUUAUUAUCCUUUCUCUUCCGUUUUUUUUAAACUCAUCUUUCUACCUUCUCUAUGAGCCGCUUUCUCUAACCUUCUUCUAUCCCCCUUCACCCCUUUCUUCUCAACUCUCUUUAUAUAUUUUUCCCGCGCUCGCCUAUACAUCCAAACUUCUAUACCCGAAAUUCUUCUGCCUAUCUUCUUUCCUCCUACUCUUAUCGCGUUUCCUUCGAUUCCUUAUUAGCAACUUUACUCUUUUCCUUCUUCAUUCUAUUUUUUUCCAUUCCAGGGCAGCAAUCGUGUAACUUUUUCCUUAGGACGGAAACGUGAAAAGUUUCAUGUAACUAUCUCUUUCUAUUAGUGUUAAAUAGAAAGAGAUAGUAACUUGAAACUUCACUUUUCACGUUUUCGCCCUAGGGGAAAAAUUACAUGAUCGAUACCAUCUUUAAACACCGACUUAUGGCUCCGGCACACCAGCGCAAUUCUGUCGCGCGCGACGCGUGAUGUCCAAUGAGCGACCGCUUUUCUGCUCAUCUCUGCUGUAUGCCCAUUGGAUAUCGCGCGCGACGGAAAUCGCACUAGUCUGCCAGAGCCCGCAGUCGUCUG